RNAcentral lists this ribosomal RNA (603 nucleotides) under uncultured bacterium. RNAcentral describes it as "bacterial SSU rRNA". It matches the Rfam family "Bacterial small subunit ribosomal RNA", at positions 35 to 638 of the family's 1533-position model. The record is from RNAcentral.
GCUGGCGGCGUGCUACACGAUGCAAGUCGAACGAGAAAGGGGCAGCAAUGCCUGAGUAAAGUUGGCGCACGGGUGAGUAACACGUGACUAACCUACCCUUGAGCGGGGGAUAACCUAGGUGAAACCUGGGUCUAAGUACCGCAUAAUACCUAUGGGUCGAAAGCGGAGCUAAUCGCAGCUCGAGGAGGGGGUCGCGGCAGAUUAUGUUAGUUUGCGUCGAGGUAAUGGCUCACCAAGACGAUGAUCUGUAUCCGGCCUGAGAGUGGCGCACUGGACACACUGGAACUGAACACACGGUCCAGACUCCUACGGGAGUGCUAGGCAGUGGUGGAAUUUUGCGCUAAUGGCGGGAAACCCUGACUGGCAGUCAACGCCGCGUGGAGGAUGAAAUAUCUUGGUAUGUAAACUCCUUUCGAUCGGGACGAUAAUGACGGUACCGAUAGAAGAACGCCCCGGCUAACUUCGUGCCAGCAGCCGCGGUAAUACUGAGGUGGGGCAAGCGUUGUUCGGAAUUAUUGGGCGUAAAGGGUGCGUAGGCGGUUUGACAAGUCUUGUGUGAAAUCUCUGGGUCUCAACCCAGGGGGCUGCCACAGGAAACUGUCG